CACCGCGGUUAUACGAGAGGCCCAAGUUGACAGACAACGGCGUAAAGGGUGGUUAGGGGACAAACUAAACUAGAGCCAAACGCUUUCAGAGCUGUUAUACGCACCCGAAAGUAUGAAACCCAAUCACGAAAGUAGCUCUACUUACCCUGAAUCCACGAAAGCUGAGAAA
This 169-nucleotide ribosomal RNA is filed under the name Hypsopsetta guttulata. RNAcentral's name for it is "partial small subunit ribosomal RNA". Lineage: Eukaryota; Metazoa; Chordata; Actinopteri; Pleuronectiformes; Pleuronectidae. The record is from RNAcentral.